The sequence is a ribosomal RNA, 1123 nucleotides long. It matches the Rfam family "Bacterial large subunit ribosomal RNA", at positions 350 to 1474 of the family's 2925-position model.
CUGUGCCAUAGAGGGUGAAAGCCCCGUAGACGAAACGUCACACUCUCUGUUCAGGAUCCUGAGUACGGCGGGACACGUGAAACCCCGUCGGAAUCUGCGAGGACCAUCUCGCAAGGCUAAAUACUCCCUAGUGACCGAUAGUGAACCAGUACCGUGAGGGAAAGGUGAAAAGCACCCCGGAAGGGGAGUGAAAUAGUUCCUGAAACCAUGUGCCUACAAGCUGUCGGAGCCCGUUAAUGGGUGACGGCGUGCCUCUUGCAGAAUGAACCGGCGAGUUACGAUUGCAUGCAAGGUUAAGGUGGAAAAACCGGAGCCGUAGCGAAAGCGAGUCUUAAAUGGGCGUAUAAAGUAUGUAGUUGUAGACCCGAAACCAGGUGACCUACCCAUGUCCAGGUUGAAGGUGCGGUAAAGCGCACUGGAGGACCGAACCCGUGUCAGUUGAAAAUGGCUGGGAUGAGGUGUGGGUAGCGGUGAAAUUCCAAACGAACUUGGAGAUAGCUGGUUCUCUCCGAAAUCUCUUUAGGGGGAGCCUUGAGGUAAAGAAUCGUGGAGGUAGAGCUACUGUUUGGACAAGGGGCCCGUCAUGGGUUACCAACUUCAGAUAAACUCCGAAUGCCAUCGAUUUAUACUCAGGAGUCAGACGAUGAGUGAUAAGAUCCACCGUCGAAAGGGGAACAGCCCAGAUCACCAGUUAAGGUCCCUAAAUAUAUGCUAAGUGGAAAAGGAUGUGGAGUUGCAUAGACAACUAGGAUGUUGGCUUAGAAGCAGCCACCAUUUAAAGAGUGCGUAAUAGCUCACUAGUCGAGUGAUCCUGCGCCGAAAAUGUACCGGGGCUAAGCAUAUUACCGAAACUGUGGAUGUGCACUAUGUGCACGUGAUAGGAGAGCGUUCUAAGGGCGGCGAAGUCAGACCGUGAGGACUGGUGGAGCGCUUAGAAGUGAGAAUGCCGGUAUGAGUAGCGAAAGACAGGUGAGAAUCCUGUCCACCGAAUGACUAAGGUUUCCUGGGGAAGGCUCGUCCUCCCAGGGUAAGUCGGGACCUAAGCCGAGGCCGAGAGGCGUAGGCGAUGGAUAACAGGUUGAGAUUCCUGUACCAGUUAACUGCGUUUGACGAUGGAGGGACG